This 1290-nucleotide ribosomal RNA is filed under the name uncultured Janthinobacterium sp. Its description in RNAcentral is "bacterial SSU rRNA". It matches the Rfam family "Bacterial small subunit ribosomal RNA", at positions 1 to 1298 of the family's 1533-position model. Lineage: Bacteria; Pseudomonadati; Pseudomonadota; Betaproteobacteria; Burkholderiales; Oxalobacteraceae. The record is from RNAcentral.
UAGAGUUUGAUCCUGGCUGAGAUUGAACGCUGGCGGCAUGCCUUACACAUGCAAGUCGAACGGCAGCACGGAGCUUGCUCUGGUGGCGAGUGGCGAACGGGUGAGUAAUAUAUCGGAACGUACCCUAGAGUGGGGGAUAACGUAGCGAAAGUUACGCUAAUACCGCAUACGAUCUAAGGAUGAAAGUGGGGGAUCGCAAGACCUCAUGCUCGUGGAGCGGCCGAUAUCUGAUUAGCUAGUUGGUAGGGUAAAAGCCUACCAAGGCAUCGAUCAGUAGCUGGUCUGAGAGGACGACCAGCCACACUGGAACUGAGACACGGUCCAGACUCCUACGGGAGGCAGCAGUGGGGAAUUUUGGACAAUGGGCGAAAGCCUGAUCCAGCAAUGCCGCGUGAGUGAAGAAGGCCUUCGGGUUGUAAAGCUCUUUUGUCAGGGAAGAAACGGUGAGAGCUAAUAUCUCUUGCUAAUGACGGUACCUGAAGAAUAAGCACCGGCUAACUACGUGCCAGCAGCCGCGGUAAUACGUAGGGUGCAAGCGUUAAUCGGAAUUACUGGGCGUAAAGCGUGCGCAGGCGGUUUUGUAAGUCUGAUGUGAAAUCCCCGGGCUCAACCUGGGAAUUGCAUUGGAGACUGCAAGGCUAGAAUCUGGCAGAGGGGGGUAGAAUUCCACGUGUAGCAGUGAAAUGCGUAGAUAUGUGGAGGAACACCGAUGGCGAAGGCAGCCCCCUGGGUCAAGAUUGACGAUCAUGCACGAAAGCGUGGGGAGCAAACAGGAUUAGAUACCCUGGUAGUCCACGCCCUAAACGAUGUCUACUAGUUGUCGGGUCUUAAUUGACUUGGUAACGCAGCUAACGCGUGAAGUAGACCGCCUGGGGAGUACGGUCGCAAGAUUAAAACUCAAAGGAAUUGACGGGGACCCGCACAAGCGGUGGAUGAUGUGGAUUAAUUCGAUGCAACGCGAAAAACCUUACCUACCCUUGACGUGGCUGGAAUCCUUGAGAGAUCAGGGAGUGCUCGAAAGAGAACCAGUACACAGGUGCUGCAUGGCUGUCGUCAGCUCGUGUCGUGAGAUGUUGGGUUAAGUCCCGCAACGAGCGCAACCCUUGUCAUUAGUUGCUACGAAAGGGCACUCUAAUGAGACUGCCGGUGACAAACCGGAGGAAGGUGGGGAUGACGUCAAGUCCUCAUGGCCCUUAUGGGUAGGGCUUCACACGUCAUACAAUGGUACAUACAGAGCGCCGCCAACCCGCGAGGGGGAGCUAAUCGCAGAAAGUGUAUCGUAGUCCGGAU